GACGAACGCUGGCGGCGUGCUUAACACAUGCAAGUCGAACGGAAAGGCCCUGCUUGCAGGGUACUCGAGUGGCGAACGGGUGAGUAACACGUGGGUGAUCUGCCCUGCACUUCGGGAUAAGCCUGGGAAAGUGGGUCUAAUACCGGAUAGGAGCCAUUUUUAGUGUGAUGGUUGGAAAGUUUUUUCGGUGUAGGAUGAGCUCGCGGGCUAUCAGCUUGUUGGUGGGGUAAUGGCCUACCAAGGCGGCGACGGGUAGCCGGCCUGAGAGGGUGGACGGCCACAUUGGGACUGAGAUACGGCCCAGACUCCUACGGGAGGCAGCAGUGGGGAAUAUUGCACGAUGGGCGCAAGCCUGAUGCAGCGACGCCGCGUGGGGGAUGACGGUCUUCGGGUUGAAAACUCCUUUCGCUAGGGACGAAGCUUUUUGUGACGGUACCUAGAUAAGAAGCCCCGGCUAACUACGUG
Molecule: ribosomal RNA, 465 nt
Filed under: uncultured bacterium
Lineage: Bacteria
Description: partial 16S ribosomal RNA
Rfam family: Bacterial small subunit ribosomal RNA
Source: RNAcentral